UACGUAGGGUGCGAGCGUUGUCCGGAAUUAUUGGGCGUAAAGAGCUCGUAGGCGGUGUGUCGCGUCGGCCGUGAAAACCUGCAGCUUAACUGUGGGCUUGCGGUCGAUACGGGCAUCACUGGAGUUCGGUAGGGGAGACUGGAAUUCCUGGUGUAGCGGUGAAAUGCGCAGAUAUCAGGAAGAACACCCGUGGCGAAGGCGGCUCUCUGGGACGGUACUGACGCUGAGACGCGAAAGCGUGGGGAGCGAACAGG
RNAcentral lists this ribosomal RNA (254 nucleotides) under uncultured bacterium. RNAcentral describes it as "partial 16S ribosomal RNA". It matches the Rfam family "Bacterial small subunit ribosomal RNA", at positions 524 to 776 of the family's 1533-position model. The record is from RNAcentral.